Molecule: non-coding RNA, 26 nt
Filed under: Homo sapiens (human)
Lineage: Eukaryota; Metazoa; Chordata; Mammalia; Primates; Hominidae
Source: RNAcentral
GAGAACUGCUAGCUGCUGGUGAUGGG